GAUGAACGCUGGCGCCGCGCCUAACACAUGCAAGUCGAACGGCACCCCUCUCCGGAGGGAAGCGAGUGGCGAACGGCUGAGUAACACGUGGAGAACCUGCCCCCUCCCCCGGGAUAGCCGCCCGAAAGGACGGGUAAUACCGGAUACCCCGGGGUGCCGCAUGGCACCCCGGCUAAAGCCCCGACGGGAGGGGAUGGCUCCGCGGCCCAUCAGGUAGACGGCGGGGUGACGGCCCACCGUGCCGACAACGGGUAGCCGGGUUGAGAGACCGACCGGCCAGAUUGGGACUGAGACACGGCCCAGACUCCUACGGGAGGCAGCAGUGGGGAAUCUUGCGCAAUGGGGGGAACCCUGACGCAGCGACGCCGCGUGCGGGACGGAGGCCUUCGGGUCGUAAACCGCUUUCAGCAGGGAAGAGUCAAG
RNAcentral lists this ribosomal RNA (423 nucleotides) under uncultured bacterium. RNAcentral describes it as "bacterial SSU rRNA". It matches the Rfam family "Bacterial small subunit ribosomal RNA", at positions 28 to 454 of the family's 1533-position model. The record is from RNAcentral.